GGUUCUAUACUUUAUUUUAGAAGAUCUGGUUUGCAACUAGAAAGAAGACUAAUGUCUUAGAACCA
RNAcentral lists this transfer RNA (65 nucleotides) under Cadlina umiushi. RNAcentral describes it as "tRNA-Ala". Lineage: Eukaryota; Metazoa; Mollusca; Gastropoda; Nudibranchia; Chromodorididae. The record is from RNAcentral.